UUGACUACAGCCUUUCUCUGGGAAAGGGUCAUCGGCAUAAUCACUCCCAGCUGUCUCAGCCUUGUUUCCACCGUCAAUAUAAAUAUCUGAGACGGAAGAAGAUGACUAGACUCAAGCCCAGCCUAGACAGCUUUUGGAAAUUCAGGAUUUCUCAUCUGUCAACUGAGUUUGCUUACCUGAUAGAGCUGUUAUUAGGACCAUGAUCUAAGCUCUG
Molecule: long non-coding RNA, 214 nt
Filed under: Monodelphis domestica (gray short-tailed opossum)
Lineage: Eukaryota; Metazoa; Chordata; Mammalia; Didelphimorphia; Didelphidae
Description: lncRNA (ENSMODG00000030794.2)
Source: RNAcentral